This 497-nucleotide ribosomal RNA is filed under the name uncultured bacterium. Its description in RNAcentral is "partial 16S ribosomal RNA". It matches the Rfam family "Bacterial small subunit ribosomal RNA", at positions 28 to 507 of the family's 1533-position model. The record is from RNAcentral.
GAUGAACGCUGGCGGCGUGCCUAAUAAAUGCAAGUCGAGCGAACAGACGAGGAGCUUGCUCCUCUUACGUUAGCGGCGGACGGGUGAGUAACACGUUGAUAACCUACCUAUAAGACUGGGAUAACUUCGGGAAACCGGUGCUAAUACCGGAUAAUAUAUUGAACCGCAUGGUUCAAUAGUGAAAGACGGUUUUGCUGUCACUUAUAGAUGGAUCCGCGCCGCAUUAGCUAGUUAGUAAGGUAACGGCUUACCAAGGCAACGAUGCGUAGCCGACCUGAGAGGGUGAUAGGCCACACUGGAACUGAGACACGGUCCAGACUACUACGGGAGGCAGCAGUAGGGAAUCUUCCGCAAUGGGCGAAAGCCUGACGGAGCAACGCCGCGUGAGUGAUGAAGGUCUUCGGAUCGUGAAACUCUGUUAUUAGGGAAGAACAAAUGUGUAAGUAACUAUGCACGUAUUGACGGUACCUAAUCAGAAAGCAACGGCUAACUACGUG